GACGAACCGUGCAAACGUUAUUCGGAAUCACUGGGCUUAAAGGGUGCGUAGGCGGGCUCGUCAGUCAGGGGUGAAAUCCCACGGCCCAACCGUGGAAGUGCCUCUGAUACUGCGAGCCUCGAGGGGGAUAGGGGCGUGCGGAACUCAGGGUGGAGCGGUGAAAUGCGUAGAUAUCCUGAGGAACACCGGUGGCGAAAGCGGCGCGCUGGAUCCCUACUGACGCUGAGGCACGAAAGCCAGGGGAGCAAACGGG
RNAcentral lists this ribosomal RNA (253 nucleotides) under uncultured bacterium. RNAcentral describes it as "partial 16S ribosomal RNA". It matches the Rfam family "Bacterial small subunit ribosomal RNA", at positions 524 to 776 of the family's 1533-position model. The record is from RNAcentral.